CUUGGGAGAAGCGAAACAGCCCCUCCCCUGCUCCAGGCGUCUUUAAUUUUCACGGGGCAGGGAGCACAGAUGAGGGAGGCUGGGGGAGCCAUCAGCCAGAGGGCUGUGGACACAUUGUGACAUCUGGAUUUCCCCAAAGCUCACGGGUCCUGUGGAGGGAGCGCUCCCCCCUCCCCUCCACCGCCCCGCAGCGCUUCCCACUUCCACAAAAUCUCUGGGAAGAUUUGACACAUUUUUUUUUUAGCAGCAGAGAGCAAUUGGAAUUUCCAGCUUAAUUCCAGAUGUGGUGCUGACUCUGCUGGGGAGUUUGGCUUGAUACAGCAUCCGGGAGGCCCGUUGUUCCAUUGGAUCCCCGCCCCCCAUCCCCAAACCCUGGCACUGGCCUGCACGCUUGUGUGUGUCCCCUCUCCUCUGCUCUGGGUCUUGCGGCUGGGCUUUCCUGCGGGGAGCUGCAGAGCGCCCAUGCGUGUGGUUUUCACACGUGUGGAGAGGGCUGGGUGGCGGAUGGGCAGCCUGGAGCCCAGGUGCCUCUGGGGCAGGGAGUAGGGGCUGUGACAGAACAGGAACCGAGUCACGCGGGGUGUUCUGGGAGCAUGGACAGGGCCGGAGGCUGGAUCUGGAGCAGGCUGGGAGGGGGUGAGGGGGGAACCGAAGGGUCAGUGUGGGCUGAGGUCAUAGCUGGUGCCUGGCCAGGGGCUGCCGGGAAGGCAGGCAGAAAGGAAAGGCCCUUUAGGCAGCCAGCGCACCCUGGUUCCUGGGGCUCAAUCCGCCAGACGAGACGUCAGGACCAGAUGGCUCCUCGGCAGGAGUGAGGGUCCCACUGGUGCCUCAGUGAAACCGCAGGAGGAUCAAGAAUAUCCAAAGGGGGAGUUCCCGUUGUGGCACAGAGGGUUAAGAGCCCAAAUAGUAUCCAUGAGGACACAGGUUCCAUCCCUGCGCCUUGCUCAGCAGGUUAAGGAUCCUGCAUGGCCACAAGCUGCGGUGUAUGCCACAGAGGCAGCUCGGAUCCCACGUUUCUAUGGUUAUGGUGUAGGCCAGCAGCUAUAGCUCUGAUUCAACCAGUAACCUGGGCACGUCCAUAUGCCCCAGGGGCUGUCCUAAAAAAGAAGAGAAAAAAAAAGGAAUGUCAAAAGGAACUGAUAUAUGUAUAUGUGUAAUUAAUUUACUUUGUCGUACACCUGAAAUUAACACAAUUUUGUAAGUCAGCCAUAUUCCAAUAAAAAAUUUAAAAAGACUGUUACCCACUUUGGCCAGCUUGUCUGUGAUUUCUCUAGGUAGUAGACAAAACAGUGGCCCCAAAAGAGGCCCACAUAUCUACUCCCCAGAACCUGUGAACAAAUGUUAACCUCACAGCCAAAAGGACUUGGCAGAUGUGAUCAUGUCAAGGAGCUUGAGAUGAGGAGACUGUCCUGGAUUAUCUGGGAGGGUCCAGGGUAAUCACCAGGGUCCUUCCCAGAGGGAGGCAAGAGGCCAAAGCAAUAGAAAGGCGAUGUGACAGCACGAAGGAGGAAGGGGCCCCAAGCCAAGGGAUGCAGGCAGCUUCUAGAAUCUGGAAAAGGCAAGGAGACCCAUUUCCCCUAGAGCCUCCAAAAGGCACACAGCACUGCCAAUCCCUUGACUUUAGCUUGGUGAGGCUGAUUUUGGACUUGUGGUCCCCAGGACUGUAAAAUAAAUGCGGAUUAUUUUAAACCACUAAGUUCGUGGUGAGCUGUCACAGGAGCGACAGGAAACCAAUACAGCCUCCCAUCCUGAGGUGGGCGCCAUCCUCGACCGCACUCCCUUCGACAAGUGCCUUUUCCACACGACACAGGGUGAGGGGAGUACCCCAUUUGUUCUCCCCAAUGGCCCUGGCUGAACAGCAGCACAGACCACCACAGGAGAGGCUGCUUCCCAUCAGCCAGGGCCUCCAGCUGGUAGCAGAGCUGGGCCCCGUCCAGGGCCCCCCAGACUUCUGGGCCAAGACCUUGCCCCCAUGGCCGCUGCCUCCCUUCAGCUGUGGAUGAACCAGCCACCAGCCUGCUGUUUCUCCACUGCAGCCCUCUACCUUCCCCGCAUUCUCUGGGGCUCUGCUCCUCAUUCCCAACAAGAAGAAGAGCAUUUUCUGUUUCUGCUUUUCAGGACCGCACCUGCACCAUACGGAGGUUCCCAGGCUAGGGGCUGAAUGGGAGCUGCAGCUGCUGGCCUAUAGCACGGUCACAGCAAAGCCAGAUCCGAGCUUCCUCUGUGAUCUAUGCUGCAGCUUGUAGCAACACCGGAUCCUUAACCCAAUGAGCAAGGGCAGGGAUCGAACUCACAUCUUCAUGGAUACUAGUUGGGUUCUUAACUCUCUGAGCCGCAAUGGAAAUGCUGGAAAAGAAACAUUUUCGAGCUGCAAAUGAGGGAACCAGAACACACACACACACAGUUCUGGAAGUACUUGCUUCCUGGGAACUGGAUGUCAACUACACCUGCUGUAAAUGAGGUUUUAACAAACAAAUUCAGGGGCUGUGUUGAUUGAGGGCAGGAGUCAGGCGGCUGGGUCAGGGUGUGAAUGUCAGAUGGCACAGAAGGAGCAGGGGGUCCCUCAUCCUUGUCCUCGAGAAUGAUGAGAUUCCACAGCACACCUUGUCAGUAAUUUUUCGGCUUUCUCUGCACAAGGCCAACCAGAGACACCCAUGCACAAAGCAUACAGACACCCGCAUGCACACAACUAUGCACAAGGACCACAGUAGUGCUGGCGUGUGCAAAGAGAAAAUGAGCAAACACAUGUGAAUAGAUACCACCCAACACACAGGCAGGCAGUCGUGCCCGCGUGCCGACACUGACAUGCCCACACAACAACAUACGUCUACUGUACACACUUGCACACACCCACAUGGGUGCACACAUAGACAGACACACCUGUGCACCAGUAAAGAGCACCUGUGACCUGGACACCUGUGAGCAGGGCGGACUGUCCAGUGCUUUCUGCCGCUCCCUCCCCAUGGCCAUCCUGAGCUCUGCUCUGGAGCCCUCUGCUGGGGAGGCCAGGAACAGGCUGCCAAGCCCUCCUGGGCCCUGGACUGGGGUUCAGAGGGAAGGGAGAUGAGGAAAGAAAGGGGACCAACGGGAGCCAGCUCCUCUGCCCUCGGCAUCCUGCCCCCACUUGGUCCAAAUGACUUUCUGCAGCCUCCAAUCUAGGGCAGAAGGAGAGAUUUCUCCUGCAAGGACUCCUCUUGGGCCCCAGCCUUUCUGCCAGACUCCAGGCACAGCCACCCUUUCCACGGGCACUGCUGGUGUGGCUGCAUAUAGAGGAGGGAGCCCCAGCAUCACACACACAGCCCCCCUCUUCAGGACCAGGCGGCUUUACCCUCCCACAUCCAGGAGCCCAAGCGGGCACCACCCUAUUCCCCUCAUCCAACCUGGGCCAUGUGGCAGUACUGUUGGCACCAGCCUCCUAGCCAACCCACCAGGUCUCUGACUCUGCUUAUUGCAGCUCCCGCUUCAAACCUCCACCUCCUGUACCUCCUCGUAGGAAUCACCCUCCUGCUCUCAACGGCUUUUCCUUUCCAUUUUCUCCUGGGGGAGGGCGAGGAACUGAAGAAGAUCUGGGCUUUGCAAUAAGAUGCAUAAACCUGACUUCAGAUCUCAGCUCAAAGGUGGGAUUUACUCAUCUGCUGUGGGCCUCUUGGGCCGCUCGCCUCACUGCCCUCGGCCUCAGCUUUACCAGGGAGAAUGGAGAUCAUGCUACUUACAUGGCAGGGUGAAAACACUUUCAGUGCUUGGUACCAAAGCUGGUUGAAGGGGUGACCAGCCGGGCAGCUGGCUGAAGGGCACUCUUUACAAAGCACGCAGACAUCACUGGAAAUAUAAGGAGAAGGAGACGAAGAAAAUCACGUCUGGAACUCUUUUAAGGGCAGUCGGAUGUUCUGCUUUAAUAAAUUACUUGCAACAGGGUGGCUUACGGGUGGGAGGACCCCAAAAGAACAGGCCGGCAUAACAAUAGUUGGUCUCUAAGCUGUUCCCUAAGGAGGGUGGAGCAAGGUCUCUACAGAGUUUUUGUCUGUCUAAUUGCAGCAUGUGAGUUUGGGGUCAGAGCUGAAUUGCUCAGAGGAGAUGGAGUGUUGCCCGGAGGGAUGAGGGAUGCUGUCCCCUGCCCACCACACACGCCCCCCCCUUUCCCCAAGCAGAGACCAGUUCCACUACAUUAAACAUGAACUGAUAAGAGUUUCCAUCAUGGUUCAGCAGAAACGAAUCUGACUUGUAUCUAUGAGGACGCAGGUUCGAUCCCUGGACUCGCUCAUUGGGUUAAGGAUCUGGCGUUGCCGUGAGCUAUGGUUUAGGUUACGGAUGCAGCUCGGAUCCCCAGUUGCUGUGGUGUAGGCUGGCAGCUACACCUCUGAUUCGACUCCUAGCCUGGGAACCUCCACAUGCUGCUGGUGUGGCCUGAAAAAGACAUAACUAACUAACUAACUAACUAAAUGAAUAAAUUUAAAAGAUAAAGAUGCGCUGAUAGUUCGAUGGGACAUAAAAUGAUUAGCUGGCCUGGGGGACCCACUCGCUUCCCCACUGGGCCCUUCCUGACGCAUGGAAGGUUCUUAAUAAAUGUUAGUUGGAUCUUUCUCUCCAGUUCUAAGACUUGUCCCCAGGCCCCUCCACUCAGCCCAGCCCUUGUUGUAUCCUCUCUGCCUGGUCCUUGGGUCUAAAGCAUCACCACACCCCUUCCCCCCAACCUUAGCAUGCUGGUCCAGCCCAUCCUGCAAGCCUCAAGACUUUUCCAUUUCUGGGGAAACGAGAAAGCUCUUACACAUCAUCCUGUUUAAAAUGACACCAAGCAGCCACCAUCUCUCCCCGGAAAGCUUCUCCUUACCUUAAAUGUCUACAAUCAGGCAGUCCCAGCUUACCAAUGAGUGAUAUUGCAAACCUUGGUUUCUGGGAAGUGGAUUGGGGUUCCAGACAAUAAGCCAAUAGAAAAUCAAGGACUCAGGGUUAUGAAUGGGGCUCAGUUUUCCAGGUUGAGCCACAAAUGCUCGUUUAACGCAUCACAAAGCUGGGCUGCUACACACCCACGUGGGGAAAAAAGAAAACCCUAAUGUUGCAAGACCUGUAGGUUGAAAUGGAAAAAAAAACAAAAACAAAAAAACACAGAUCCAGGAAAGUCUGUUCAUUUUUUCUUGAAAGCUGGUGCUUAAGGGAAAGCAGGUUUCUUAACAGGAGUGUGAAGAGAUGGCAGGGGGAUGAUCUAAAGGAAACUUCCAGGUGCUUUCAAGGGCUUCAGAGGCUGAAAGCUUUUGUUCUUCAAUAUUCUAAUGAAUCUUUCUGACGUUCAGUCUGCCUUUUUCUUGGCACAGGGGCAGUCCUGGCUGCACCCUGAUACUCAGUUAGCCAGGAUUAUUUGGGUUGAAAGAAUAAACUAAGGAGGAGUUCCCGUCAUAGCGCAGUGGUUAAUGAAUCCAACUAGGAACCAUGAGGUUUCGGGUUCGAUCCCUGGCCUUGCUCAGUGGGUUGGGGACCCAGCGUUGCAGACUUGGCUCGGAUCCCAUGUUGCUGUGGCACUGGCAUAGGCUGGUGGCUACAGCUCCGAUUAGAUCCCUAGCCUGGGAACCUCCAUAUGCCGUGGGAGCGGCCCUAGAAAAGGCAAAAAGACGAAAAAAAAAAAAAAGAAUAAACUAAGGAAAGGAACUCUGGAGGUAACCAGGGUAGGGUUGUUUUAAAGGAGGUGAAAGGAGAUUCAAGGGUGUCAUUUAGAUUUUAAAGAUGGCUUGAGGAGGGAGUUCCCCUGUGGCACAGUGGGUUAAUGAUCUGGCUUGUCUCUGUUGCAGUGCUGUUUUGAUCUCUGGCGGGGCACAGUGGGUUAAAGAUCUAGCAUUGCCACAGCUGCCAUGUAGGUUGCAGCUUCGGCUCAGAUUCCAUCCCUGGCCUGAGAACUUCCACAUACCGUGGGUGUCCCUGAAAAAGAAAGGGAAAAAAAAGAUGGCUGGAGGAAGACUGAGCCCAACUGAACUGAUUGUGGUAAAAAACAAAGAACAAAAAGAGAGAGAAAAGGGACAUUAUGGUACUCCGUGAUCCCAUCAGCCCAAUCCAACUGCAAAAGAAACAAAAGGUUGGGAGCUGGGCAGUUCCAAGGCUGGCCGCUAGGUGACACCAGAGGCCCAGGGCAGCUUGGUUGCAGCUGUGUCCUGUAGAGGGGGUCUUGGGAGGCUCCAGGGGAGUGGGGGAGUCACAGGUUUGGAAGCCCAGGACAGAACAUUCUCAGGUUCCAUUGUUCUGACUGGUUGGAGAGAGAUGGUUCAUGCACCUAGCCUUCCUUCUCC
This 6272-nucleotide long non-coding RNA is filed under the name Sus scrofa (pig). RNAcentral's name for it is "lncRNA (ENSSSCG00000059235.1)". Lineage: Eukaryota; Metazoa; Chordata; Mammalia; Artiodactyla; Suidae. The record is from RNAcentral.